AUUGAACGCUGGCGGCAGGCCUAACACAUGCAAGUCGAGCGGAUGAAGGGAGCUUGCUCCUGGAUUCAGCGGCGGACGGGUGAGUAAUGCCUAGGAAUCUGCCUGGUAGUGGGGGAUAACGUCCGGAAACGGGCGCUAAUACCGCAUACGUCCUGAGGGAGAAAGUGGGGGAUCUUCGGACCUCACGCUAUCAGAUGAGCCUAGGUCGGAUUAGCUAGUUGGUGGGGUAAAGGCCUACCAAGGCGACGAUCCGUAACUGGCCUGAGAGGAUGAUCAGUCACACUGGAACUGAGACACGGUCCAGACUCCUACGGGAGGCAGCAGUGGGGAAUAUUGGACAAUGGGCGAAAGCCUGACCCAGCCAUGCCGCGUGUGUGAAGAAGGUCUUCGGAUUGUAAAGCACUUUAAGUUGGGAGGAAGGGCAGUAAGUUAAUACCUUGCUGUUUUGACGUUACCAACAGAAUAAGCACCGGCUAACUUCGUG
This 484-nucleotide ribosomal RNA is filed under the name uncultured bacterium. RNAcentral's name for it is "partial 16S ribosomal RNA". It matches the Rfam family "Bacterial small subunit ribosomal RNA", at positions 30 to 507 of the family's 1533-position model. The record is from RNAcentral.